GUGGCGUACGGCUCAGGAACACGUAGAUCGACUUACCCUGAGGACGGGGCAUAACCUCGGGAAACUGAGGAUAAACCACGAUAGGCUAUAAUACCUGGAAUGGGUUAUACCUGAAAUCUACAUGGCCUCAGGAUAGGACUGCGGCCGAUCAGGCUGUUGGCGGGGUAAUGGCCCACCAAACCUCAUAACCAGUACGGCCUCUGAGAGGAGGAGCCCGGAGAUGGGCACUGACACAAGGNANCAGGUGCUAUGGGUCGCAGCGGGAGAGCCCCCUUCUCAAUGGGCGAAAGCCGGACCAGGUUCAUCCGAGUGGCUUCUGCUAAAAGAGUG
This 330-nucleotide ribosomal RNA is filed under the name uncultured crenarchaeote. Its description in RNAcentral is "bacterial SSU rRNA". It matches the Rfam family "Archaeal small subunit ribosomal RNA", at positions 78 to 405 of the family's 1478-position model. Lineage: Archaea; Thermoproteati; Thermoproteota. The record is from RNAcentral.